Long non-coding RNA from Corvus hawaiiensis (hawaiian crow), 2780 nucleotides. RefSeq lists it as uncharacterized. The record is from RefSeq and is a predicted model, not a curated record. The transcript has 3 exons. Lineage: Eukaryota; Metazoa; Chordata; Aves; Passeriformes; Corvidae.
AGUGGAGACAAAAACUGAACAUGCCUGGGGUGCAGGAGAGAACAAGAAAAAUUAUUUAGUGAGGCACACCCAGCACAAAGAGAGGUGCUGCAUCCUGGAGCACUGGCACAAGCAUUUGCGCACCAGAACUGCCAACAUCUGUCUCUGGAUUUAACAGGCCAGGACCAAGCCACAGACUUCAUUGUGUUAACACACUCAACAGACAACUGCAGUGAAAUAAAGGAAGAAUGGAAGACUAUGGACUGACUCUCUUAUAUAAGGAACAUUAUCAAUAAUAUUUGCACUGAGGCAAAACUAGAUAACAGGAGGAUGAAUGUCAGCCAAACAUUAAAGUCAUAAAGAUGGGGAAAAUUACAUCUUGAAUUCAUCAGUCUGCUAUUACAUCAGUCUUUGGCCACUAACAAACAACCAAUUCAUCUGGAAAUGGCAGAUUUUCACUUUUGGUGUAUGCAUGCCUGGACAGAGAGGCAGAACGUGAUAUCAUUUUGUUUUAGAGAGUGCUUUGUUUAGGUUCUUUUUAAAGCAGAAGCACUGUCUACUGCAAUCCUAAGGAAUGAAGCCUGUUGUGAAAAAAAAACUGCUCUGCACCUCUUAAAAUACAGCCCACCAGAUACUUAUCCUAAAAAUAAGUUUUGGCAGAACAGAGGUGAAAAGAUUAAUAAACUCUUUAUCUUGUCCAGAGCCUAAAUUGGUAUUGCUGCAUUUCAGGCAGUAAAUCGUGUCAGUUAUACUCUCUGCUCCAGUCUGUUCCUAUGAUAGACUGCAGCAGAGUGGAUAAAAUAAUAAUGAUUAAUGGUCACCACUGCUCUGCUCUUCCUUUACCUGCCUGGAAAUAUAAUUCUUUAAAAAUAGGUAAAUAAGCUCCCAAGCUAUGCUUCUCCAUUGCAGUAACCCUUUACCUGCUUUACAACACGGCUUAGGUGGCCCCACAAGGGACAAGGACCACAUUGUCCCAGGUACUGUGCAAGCAAACCAGGAAAGACAAUCCCUGCCUCAAAGCAUCUUCGAGUAAGCAAAAGAGAAUCUGAGUGACAAAAUCAAGUUGGAACAGACUCCUGCACGUAGGCCAAAUACAAGGAAGACUUCACUGGGUCAAAAGGUCCUCAGCAAACUUUCUGCCCUAGGAUAAGUUUCUCUCUAUUAGCAUAGCUAACCUAAGAUAAAUAUUGAAUAAUAGAUGCUGUCGUGGAUAAAAUAUGCUCAUAAAAUUAUAUUAGAUAGAGCAGCCUCUUAUUUUGUGUAAUGAAAACCACUUGACAAAGUUAAAAAUACAAAUCUAAACGCACUCAAUUUUAAUACUAAAGUAUCCUGUCUUUCCAUUAUAGACACAACCUGUGUUGCACAACCAAAGCAGAGACAGAAGAAUGAUCUCACAUUUACUGGGAGCACUCCACAAUUCUCACUGUUAGAUUCAAAAAUACAUUAUUGCUUUGAACUUGGCUCUUCUGUAGAUGACAGGAACUGUCAUUUAAUCCUUCAGUGAACCUCUCCUGAGGUCAUUAAGUGUCGGUGAGAGAGGACCAGUCAAGGGAGUCAGUACUGGCAAGGACUGGAAAUGGGCAAGUGCUUCCUUCUUCCACAUUUCAUGUCUUCAGCCCGUGAGGGGGUUGGUUUGUUUAAUUUAAGAUAGCCUGCCUUUAGAGACAUAGAUUAACCUUUGGUAUCUCCAGUGCAACCAGGACCCAGGAUGGAAGCACACAGUUUACUAUAGCUACUCAUGUAAUCUCAAUGCAAUUUCCUCAAAACUAAAAUAUUAAAAAGCUGUGAGAGGGUUGUUUUUUAAAAAGAAAAUAACAUAGUCCACAACUGCAGUGAAGGGCACUUGAAUUUUUUUUUUUUUUUUUUUGACCUUUUAAUAAAAAUACUCAUUUCCGCAACUACAGAGACCAGAAAAAAAUUAUCUUCAAAAAUCACAGAUUUGACUGCAGAAAUAAGUGGGGAAACAGGUUCCUGUCAUUUGUGAAGUCCCAAAAUCUUGACAGAAAGGUGGAAAACUCAGUUAGAAUGAAACAAGAGGUCAAGUAUUCAGAAUGCAAAUAAUCCACCCAGACCUAGGAGUUUAUAUCCAGAGUAACCACCUUGAGCUAUCUGCCAAAGUUCACAACAGAAGGCAUCCAUUUAGAAUUGAGCAGGGCAGCUCUAAAACAUGCGAGAACAACAAUAUUUUAGUACCAAAAACUGAAUUUUCUUUAGUAAUGCACAUCUUCCCAUGAAUAAUAAAAGAGUAUUCUCAAUGUUUUAUGAGGUAUAGCUUAGUCUUGAAGACUAUCUGCAGGACUUGCUUAUGCUGAUACUUUGCAUUAAAGAGAUCAGUAAUACUCAGCUAACUAAUAAAGGACAAACACAUGCUACAAUGACAGCCUCAGAAAGCAAAAAUCAAAAAGGUCAUUCUAAGAAAUGGAUUUGGAGCAACAAAAUGCUUUUAUUUCUUCACAUCACUGCAGUAUCCAGGAGCCCUGAUGAGCCUAGGCCCCACUGUGGUAGAUGCUACUGUACAGCCUAUUUAUGAACCAGACAUGCUUCUCAAUGAGAAAAAGAAAGUACAUGCUAAUAAUGUUGUUACAGCAUCAGUGCAGCAUUAUCUCAGACAAUGAGAAGUGUGGAAGUUUUAUACGCUUUAUUGUUAUUAAAAGUAGCACUGUUACCUUGGCAACUGCUGAAUCACUUGGGAGUUUGUUAAAGAAACCCAAAUGUUACUUAUACUUGCACAUUUGCAAUCAAUUUAGGGAAAACAAUUGGGGGGUUUUUUUGGUGUACUUUUUUUAAACAAAUCGCACAUU